Pelobates cultripes (western spadefoot toad) is the source of this 293-nucleotide non-coding RNA. Lineage: Eukaryota; Metazoa; Chordata; Amphibia; Anura; Pelobatidae. The record is from the annotation of a GenBank genome assembly.
GUGAGGGGGUGACUAGUGACAGAGUGAGGGGGUGACUAGUGACAGAGUGAGGGAAGGAAGGGGUGACUAGUGGCAGAGUGAGGGAAGGAAGGGGUGACUAGUGGCAGAGUGAGGGAAGGAAGGGGUGACUAGUGACACACUGUCACUAGUCACCACCUCCCUCAUUCUGUCACUAGUCACCACCUCCCUCUGUCACUACUCCCUCCCUCCUUCUGUCACUAGUCACCCCCUCCCUCACUCUGUCACCAGUCAUCCCCUCCCUCACUCUGUCACCAGUCAUCCCCUUCCCUCAC